ACAAUAAGGGACAAUGUGAGCUCCCCGCCCGGUGCCCUCCCCCCCCACCCCCGCCUCCCCGGCUCCGGGGCUCUGAGGGCUCAGGAGGACCCAGGGGCUCGGGCCGGGGCUCAGUGUCCCCCCGGUGUCCCCCCGGUGCCAGAGGACCAGGCUGCAGCUCACGUCCCCCCCUGCACCAGAAGCGGCUUUGGGACAGAGGAAUCCUCGGUUCGUUUUGGCGAAAUGAUGGCGUUUUCGGCAAAAUAUCAUCGGAACGAUAACGGAGGAAAAAAAAAUAAGAAGAAUCCAACCCUGCGUUUAAAUAAAGACGGGUGAUAAUUUCAUUAUCAGGAUAAGACUUUGGGUGGGAAAAACGCUGGAGAAUUUUCGCAUCGCUGGAGGGUGUCUGCGCUCUCACGACCGGGGAUACUGCAGUCGUUUGGAAAGGACGAAGAGGUAGGAACCUGGAGCUGCUUAGGAUCGGGAAUGACUGGAUUAUAGCUUCCAACUAAAGAAAAAAACAUCAAGAAUCAUGCAUUUUAAAAACAGUUUAUUCAACGGCCAAGGACAAUGAUCCGGCACAAUGUAACGGCAGAUAUAAAUAUAACCUUAUAUAAGUGGUUGACCCUUGUCAUUAUUAUUUUUAAUAGCUUCAUACCUAAUAUUUUAACCAUUUCCCCCCGCAGAACCGACUCUGCGAAUUAUAUUUUUUUUCUCCCCUCCCUUUUUCUUUCAUUUUUUUAAAAUUUAUUUUCUAAAUCUUUUUUUUUUAAUUCUUUUUUUCUUUUUUUUUUUCCUUC
Molecule: long non-coding RNA, 779 nt
Filed under: Gallus gallus (chicken)
Lineage: Eukaryota; Metazoa; Chordata; Aves; Galliformes; Phasianidae
Source: RNAcentral